This 723-nucleotide ribosomal RNA is filed under the name uncultured bacterium. Its description in RNAcentral is "bacterial SSU rRNA". It matches the Rfam family "Bacterial small subunit ribosomal RNA", at positions 8 to 742 of the family's 1533-position model. The record is from RNAcentral.
AGAGUUUGAUCCUGGCUGAGAGUGAACGCUGGCGGCGUGCUUAACACAUGCAAGUCGAACGAGAACGGGUAUUAGCUUGCUAAUACUGUCAGCUAAGUGGCGCACGGGUGAGUAAUAUAUAGGUAACGUGCCUUCAAGAAGGGGAUAACAAUUGGAAACGAUUGCUAAUACCCUAUAUGCCUUUAAGUCUUAAGACUGCAAGGGAAAUAUUUAUAGCUUGAAGAUCGGCCUGUACAGUAUCAGUUAGUUGGUGAGGUAAUGGCUCACCAAGACAAUGACGCUUAACUGGUUUGAGAGGAUGAUCAGUCACACUGGAACUGAGACACGGUCCAGACUCCUACGGGAGGCAGCAGUGGGGAAUAUUGCACAAUGGAGGAAACUCUGAUGCAGCAACGCCGCGUGGAGGAUGACACAUUUCGGUGCGUAAACUCCUUUUAUAUGAGAAGAUAAUGACGGUAUCAUAUGAAUAAGCACCGGCUAACUCCGUGCCAGCAGCCGCGGUAAUACGGGGGGUGCAAGCGUUACUCGGAAUCACUGGGCGUAAAGAGCAUGUAGGCUGGUUUGUAAGUUGGAAGUGAAAUCCUAUGGCUUAACCAUAGAACUGCUUCCAAAACUGCAGACCUAGAAUAUGGGAGAGGUAGAUGGAAUUUCUGGUGUAGGGGUAAAAUCCGUAGAGAUCAGAAGGAAUACCGAUUGCGAAGGCGAUCUACUGGAACAUUAUUG